Molecule: ribosomal RNA, 66 nt
Filed under: Perenniporia fraxinea
Lineage: Eukaryota; Fungi; Basidiomycota; Agaricomycetes; Polyporales; Polyporaceae
Description: Vanderbylia fraxinea partial 28S ribosomal RNA
Rfam family: Eukaryotic large subunit ribosomal RNA (bases 10-66)
Source: RNAcentral
UCUGACCUCUGACCUCAAAUCAGGUAGGACUACCCGCUGAACUUAAGCAUAUCAAUAAGCGGAGGA